Molecule: long non-coding RNA, 4327 nt
Filed under: Marmota monax (woodchuck)
Lineage: Eukaryota; Metazoa; Chordata; Mammalia; Rodentia; Sciuridae
Source: RNAcentral
CUUCUUUAACUUUAAAAUGUUAUUCUUACAGAAUACACAGGUAAAACUUCUACAGGCACCGUGCAUGUUAAAGUACCCAGUUUUAAUGAAAAUUGUCCACCAGUGGUCCUGGAGAAGGACGAAGUCUGUGGUCCCUCACCUUCUGUGGUUGUCUCUGCUCAAAACCUGCAAAGGGACAGAUACCCUGGUCCCUACACAUUUUCACUGGAAAAGAAACUGCAGAAGUUGCCAGUUGUUUGGACUAUCACAGCACUCAAUGGUGAGUAAGAGGAAAGUUGCUUCCAUAAAUAAAAGUUGCACUUCUUUAUGUUUCCAGAAGAGUAUGAGAAUUCAUUGGAGAGCAGGUUUCCAAGAAUUAUUAAAAAAAAAAAAUCUUUGUUAUAAAGAUGUGACCUCUCACUUCAGAAAAGAAAUAGUAAGAUAAAAUGUUAGCACCACUUAAAAUUUUCUGGUUUUUAUUGAAUAACUUUUAUAUUUCUAGUGUAUUUAUUUCUACCUCCACAGUAGAAAAAAAAUAGGGUCAGGCAUCUAUUUUUUUUCAGAGAAAUGUCUAUAUCUCUCCAUACAUAAGGUUUUCCUAAUGGGGCUGGCAGUAAGCAGACAGGAAGCACUGGAAAAACCCACUCGCCGAUGGAGUAUAUUUAUUCCUUUUUUCUUUAUCUUUUUUGUGCUCGUUUUGUAUUUUGUUUCUUCGAGAAGUUUUAUGUAUAUGAUGUUAGACUUAAUAAAAAUCUGUUCCUUUGGGGAAUUUUAUUUUGGCCAUCAGUCCAUUUCAGAUCCCUUGUAAACUCACUCACUUUCCUUAGCUCUUACCCACACCAGUCCUGCCUCCUUUCAUGGACAUGGUCCGUGGUGCCCUAUAGUCAUAGAUUACAGCCAUCACCGGAGUCAAAAAGAUUUUGUUCUGUGUCACCUUCUGCCCUUGGGCCUUUCUGAUGCUGGUUAAAGAUCUAGCUCCAAACUACACAUAUAGCAUUUGGCUCAAAAUGAGUUUACCUGAUACAUAGUCACUAAAGAUGCCACUAAGAGAGGGCCAGCACAGGAAACCAGCUCAGUUGAGUCUGGGCAGGGCAACCAUGGUUGGACAGGGUGAACAAGACCCAAUGUGACAGAACAUGGAGAGGUCAAGAGUGAUUCAAACAGCAGCACUGCUGUGGGAUCCCACUUAGAAAGGGGCAAUGUUGCCAUGGAGACUAGGGAACAACUGGUGCUCAGGAGUCAGGCAAUAGGUGACACCCCUGGGAAUCCCAUCCAACAGGCCAUAAUCUCCUGGAAUGAGAACUAGGAGGAGCAGGUGCAGUAGCAGCAGCCAAAGCUGAAGUUCACUGUUGAUGAGGCAGACCCAAGAACAUGGAGUUCAGGGUAAGGCGUACACUCAGAAGGCCACAUGCAUCUGAGUGUAGACAUACAGGAAAGUAGUAAUGCCAUGGUAUAGGAGCCUAAUAUUUGCAUCAUGCUCAUCUCCUAUCCUCUGGUGAGAAAAGCAAGCAAGAUUGAGUCUUCAUGGUGAGGAACAACGGGGUGUCUGGGUCAGAGAGGACAAGAAGGCAUGUAGACAGAUUUACCCAAUUGAUCUCUUAGAGCCCCUCAUUGCUGCUCCGUUCACAUCAGCCCUCUGUUUGUGCCAGUAAAGCAUUCUAGCACUGUUAUCAAAAAUAAGUCAUUUUAAGAAAGGAAUAUACUUGUUCUUACUAUUGAUUGUAUGGUUUUUUUUCCAGGUACCUUUGCUUUCCUGAGAGCCCAGCAAAAGAUGUCUCCUGGAGUGUACAGAAUUCCCCUCAUAAUUACGGACAAUCAGGACAGGCAGUGUGACACACCAGAGAUCUUGACUCUGACAGUCUGUGACUGUGACAACAGGGAUGUCUGUGGAGCUUCUUCCAUAGACAAAGAACCUAAGCCCACGUACAGAAAUGGGCCCUCAAGACUGGGACCUAAUGCCAUUGGCUUGCUCCUCCUCGGACUCUUGAUGUUGCUGUGUGAGUAUCCACCGCCUAGCUCUGUGUCCACUAGGGUGGCAACACUUGCAAUGAUUUUGUGUUUUCUUUUUUUUUCUGUGCAUUGUGAGUAUAGUUCUUGUUAUGUCAUUUUAUACGCAUAGCUGGGAGGAAAUGGCAUUCUUUUGGAAAGAAUCUGGAAAGUUUAACUUGUCACUUGCUAUCAAUCUAUAUGAACAUAGCAAAGAAACUCAUAUAUGCAGACAUUUAGAAUGGGAGAGGCGGAUCAAGAGUGGGGCAGCUGACUCAUGCAGCUGGUUAUGUAUUUGGGUCAUUGUUAUGCCGCUUGUGUAGGCUGGAUGUUUCCUAGUGUUCUAAUGCUAAUAUUGAAGAAUGAAGAAAUUAUCAAGAAGAUUCUCUUCCUACUGCCAGUAAUAUUCAUGGGCCAUAAGCAUGGUGCAUUUUUUUCCUCUUUAUCUUCUUUGUGGUUGUUUUUUUUUUUUUCUCUUUGCAGUGUUGAAGAUCACCCAGGGCCUUGUUAACACUCCAGCUCUGACCAGUAUCCCCAGCCCCAGCACUUUCUAAGAUGCUUCUCCAUAUUCAAGUCCCAUGAGAUUCUAAAAUAGAAAGAAAACCCUAGUCAAACAAACUUAGGGGAAAUAAACAAGCCUGUCAUAGACUUUGAGCUUUACAAUGUGCAUUAAAAGAGCAUGGCUCUGAGAAGUUAUUGUUUAAUCCAGCAUUUCCUCAAAGAAAGAGCUAACUACCUGAAUAUAUAUCAUUUUAAGACUUAAGGGUUAAGUAUAUUGAACACAUUUAGGGAAGCUACACAUAUGUAUUAUUUUUUAAUAAAAUUAAAAUUUAUUUUAUUCAGCAGACAGAUUUCUGGAAAUUUUCAUUCAAAUCAAAAUCCUGUGAAUCAAACAGUAAGAGGUCACUAUUUAAAAGAAUUUUGUGACAAAUUCAUGUAUAAAUAAGAGAAAUCCUUGAUCCAUUCACAAUAACUACCCCAAUUUAUUAUAGAGUCAUAGAUAUUUAGGGCUAAAUUUUCAUGAUGAUACUUUCUACUUCAAUUCCUUCUUUUAAAUUUCUUUUGAUUUAUGGAAUCAAUUAAACCACUAAAAAAGAACAGAAAAUUUUAUUAAAAACAUACAUAUAACCAUCACUCAGACUUAACAAAUAUGUCCUCAGAUCACUUUUUUUUUCAAUUAAGAAAAUCAUUUUUUGGACUGGGAUUGUAGCUAUCAUGUGCGAGGCCCUGGGUUCGAUCCGCAGCACCACAUAAAAAUAAAUAAAUAAAAUAAAGAUAUUGUGUCCAACUACAACUAAAAAUAAAUAUUCUUAAAAAAUAAAAGAAAAGAAAAUCAUUUUUAUAGGGCUGGGGUUGUGGCUCAGCAGUAGAGUGCUCACCUAGGCAUGACCAAGGCCCUGGGUUCAAUCCUCAGCACCACAUAAAAAAUAAGUAAAUAAAAUAAAGGUAUUCUGUCCAAAUACAACUAAAAAAAUAUUUUUUUUUAAAAACCCUCUGAGCUAGGGACUCAUUCUCAAGUCACAAUUAAGAAUCCAUUCAUCACCAUUUGUUAGGGUCAUCUCUCUAGGUGCUUAAGGUGUUUGCUGAUCAAGUACUAUUUACUAAGAACCGAUUAGAAACCAAAUUACUAAAACAAUAUCAUACCCACCUAAAGUCUUGGGCAUUCAGGUAUCAUAGUCAUCUCCACAUUCACCUAACACAAUAUAUAUUUAGCUUCAAUAUGUACAAAGAAACACAAUCAUCAAAAAAUCUAUGCAGGAAAAGGAUUGAGGAACUGAGCAACCCCCUUUAUCAUUCAUCAAACAAGUGUGUCUUCAACAACAAUAUACCUGCAACGAGAAAUGAUCUGGCCUGUCUCCUUCCAUUUUGUAAUAAUUUGAAAUUCUAGCAUGCUCAAUUUACUACCUUUUAUUUUUUUUAAUAUUUUUUAGUUGUUGAUAGACCUUUUAUUUUAUUUAUUUAUAUGUGGUGCUGAGAAUCAAACCCAGUGCCUCACACAUGCCAGGCAAGUACUCUACCGCUGAGCCACAACCCCAGCCCCUACAUUUUAUUCUGUAUAAAUCAAUUUUACUUUUUAUUAGGAAUUUUUCCUUAAGUAUUUUAAAAUUUUUAUUUUCUUUGUAACAUGUCUGACAGUUGUCAUGUCAAAUGGUGUUUGAGUAAUUGAAAUGUUCUGAUUAUUUGGUCUUGUUUUUCACUAGUGGCCCCCCUUCUGCUGCUGACCUGUUCCUGUGGGACAACUCCCAUCGGAGGGGUGACAGGUGGUUUCAUCCCAGUUCCUGAUGGUUCUGAAGGGACAAUUCAUCAGUGGGGAAUCGAAGGAGCCCAACCUGAGGACAAGGUAGGGGUUCUGUUUGUAACG